Molecule: ribosomal RNA, 433 nt
Filed under: uncultured bacterium
Lineage: Bacteria
Description: partial 16S ribosomal RNA
Rfam family: Bacterial small subunit ribosomal RNA
Source: RNAcentral
AACGAACGCUGGCGGCAUGCCUAACACAUGCGAGUCGAACGAUGCCUUCGGGCAUAGUGGCGCACGGGUGCGUAACGCGUGGGAAUCUGCCUUUCGGUUCGGAAUAACUCAGGGAAACUUGAGCUAAUACCGGAUAACGUCGCAAGACCAAAGAUUUAUCACCGAAAGAUGAGCCCGCGUAGGAUUAGCUAGUUGGUGAGGUAAAGGCUCACCAAGGCGACGAUCCUUAGCUGGUCUGAGAGGAUGAUCAGCCACACUGGGACUGAGACACGGCCCAGACUCCUACGGGAGGCAGCAGUGGGGAAUAUUGGACAAUGGGCGAAAGCCUGAUCCAGCAAUGCCGCGUGAGUGAUGAAGGCCUUAGGGUUGUAAAGCUCUUUUACCCGGGAAGAUAAUGACGGUACCGGGAGAAUAAGCCCCGGCUAACUCCGUG